GAUGAACGCUGGCGGCGUGCCUAAUACAUGCAAGUCGAGCGAACGGACGAGAAGCUUGCUUCUCUGAUGUUAGCGGCGGACGGGUGAGUAACACGUGGAUAACCUACCUAUAAGACUGGGAUAACUUCGGGAAACCGGAGCUAAUACCGGAUAAUAUUUUGAACCGCAUGGUUCAAAAGUGAAAGACGGUCUUGCUGUCACUUAUAGAUGGAUCCGCGCUGCAUUAGCUAGUUGGUAAGGUAACGGCUUACCAAGGCAACGAUGCAUAGCCGACCUGAGAGGGUGGUCGGCCACACUGGAACUGAAACACGGUCCAGGCUCCUACGGGAGGCAGCAGUAGGGAAUCUUCCGCAAUGGGCGAAAGCCUGACGGAGCAACGCCGCGUGAGUGAUGAAGGUCUUCGGAUCGUAAAACUCUGUUAUUAGGGAAGAACAUAUGUGUAAGUAACUGUGCACAUCUUGACGGUACCUAAUCAGAAAGCCACGGCUAACUACGUG
Molecule: ribosomal RNA, 497 nt
Filed under: uncultured bacterium
Lineage: Bacteria
Description: partial 16S ribosomal RNA
Rfam family: Bacterial small subunit ribosomal RNA
Source: RNAcentral